CCUACGGGGGGCUGCAGUGGGGAAUAUUGGACAAUGGGGGGAACCCUGAUCCAGCCAUGCCGCGUGUGUGAAGAAGGCCCUCGGGUUGUAAAGCACUUUCAGUGAGGAAGAACGCCUGGUGGUUAAUACCCAUCGGGAAAGACAUCACUCACAGAAGAAGCACCGGCUAACUCCGUGCCAGCAGCCGCGGUAAUACGGAGGGUGCGAGCGUUAAUCGGAAUUACUGGGCGUAAAGCGCGCGUAGGUGGCUUGAUAAGCCGGUUGUGAAAGCCCCGGGCUCAACCUGGGAACGGCAUCCGGAACUGUCAAGCUAGAGUGCAGGAGAGGAAGGUAGAAUUCCCGGUGUAGCGGUGAAAUGCGUAGAGAUCGGGAGGAAUACCAGUGGCGAAGGCGGCCUUCUGGACUGACACUGACACUGAGGUGCGAAAGCGUGGGUAGCAAACAGGAUUAGAUACCCGAGUAGUC
This 465-nucleotide ribosomal RNA is filed under the name Vreelandella stevensii. Its description in RNAcentral is "partial 16S ribosomal RNA". It matches the Rfam family "Bacterial small subunit ribosomal RNA", at positions 338 to 795 of the family's 1533-position model. The record is from RNAcentral. Lineage: Bacteria; Pseudomonadati; Pseudomonadota; Gammaproteobacteria; Oceanospirillales; Halomonadaceae.